This 515-nucleotide ribosomal RNA is filed under the name uncultured bacterium. Its description in RNAcentral is "bacterial SSU rRNA". It matches the Rfam family "Bacterial small subunit ribosomal RNA", at positions 29 to 526 of the family's 1533-position model. The record is from RNAcentral.
AACGAACGCUGGCGGCAGGCUUAACACAUGCAAGUCGAGCGAAGGCUUCGGCCUUAGCGGCGGACGGGUGAGUAACGCGUGGGAACGUGCCCUCUUCUCCGGAAUAGCCUCGGGAAACUGAGAUUAAUGCCGGAUACGCCCCCCAAUCAAAUUCCAUUUGAUUGGCGAACCUAAGGAUCGUCAAAUUCCACGAGUGGAAUUUGAUGGGGGGGAAAGAUUUAUCGGAGGAGGAUCGGCCCGCGUUGGAUUAGGUAGUUGGUGGGGUAAUGGCCUACCAAGCCGACGAUCCAUAGCUGGUUUGAGAGGAUGAUCAGCCACACUGGGACUGAGACACGGCCCAGACUCCUACGGGAGGCAGCAGUGGGGAAUCUUGGACAAUGGGGGCAACCCUGAUCCAGCCAUGCCGCGUGAGCGAUGAAGGCCUUAGGGUUGUAAAGCUCUUUCAGCGGGGAAGAUAAUGACGGUACCCGCAGAAGAAGCCCCGGCUAACUCCGUGCCAGCCGCCGCAGUAAAAC